Molecule: non-coding RNA, 73 nt
Organism: Colossoma macropomum (tambaqui)
Lineage: Eukaryota; Metazoa; Chordata; Actinopteri; Characiformes; Serrasalmidae
Source: the annotation of a RefSeq genome assembly
GUUUCUGUAGUGUAGCGGUUAUCACAUUCGCCUUACAUGCGAAAGGCUCCCGGUUUGACCCCAGGCAGAAACA